UUUUAACCUAGUUUUAUUUCAGCAGCCUUGUGUUCUAGAUUUUUUAUAAUCCGGAUUUCUCUUUAUCAAUUCAGUAUUCAGCUUCUGUUCUUGAUUUUUGUUUACUGUUGUUCAUUCUGUUAUCAUACUACUGUUACACUGCUGUUAUCAUGUCUUCAACCUGUUCAACGUUUAUACUUUCUGUUAUGAUGUCUGAGUAGUGAAUAGGUUUCUGAGGAUGGGUUAGAGUAGUGUAGAAUUCUCAGUAUGCUAGGUGAUUGAGUAUUGAUUGAUAGAUCCCUUCUGGAUUAGUUGUUCUUAAUGCCUAUUGCUUUCUGAUCAACUGGAAUUUGAGCCCAGACAUUUCCGCGCCCAAAAGGUGUUCGAUGAAUUGUCUGAACCACUAAUUCCAGAGAUUCGUGACCCUGUACCAAGGUAUUGGUUGCAGGGAGCGUUUUGGCUUUAACUUGUUGAUUCGUAAUGCCUGUUAGGUUAGCUCUCGUCAAUGGUGAUUGAGUCUGGGACUAGGUUAGCUUGAGAGUCUCUGUUGCGGUGGCACUUAGAUUUGGUUAAUGAACUUGUUGUCUAGGGUUAAUUUAUUGAGCAUGUCAAUCACCUGUAAACUGAGGAAACGAAACUACUCAAUUACCCCAUCCUUAGGAAUUUUUUGUCUGAUUGAUUUUAUUGUUUACUCUACUGUUGUUUACUGCAUCCUGUCACCUGUUGCUUAGUUUCUGCAAUUCUUUACUGUUACUCGACCUGAUACUCGACCACCCAGUUGUCUGGCAACAGACUGUGCAGUCGAGUAUCUUUGUUUCAUUUUCUUUACUGUUACUCGACCUGUCACUCGACCUCACCCAGGGCUCUGCAAAGAGCUGCGUUGGUCGAGUGUUUUACUGUUUCUGUUUGAUUUUCUGUUUCCUGCUUGUUCACUUAGGAUUGCUAUAACACACCAAAACCUGUUAUUGCUUGGCUUGACUUAGUGACUUCUGAUCACAUCUUGAUUGUUAGCAUCACACCCAUUUGGAUUGACAACCUAAAAUACUACAACGACAUGAUUGGUGUUUUAGGAUAAUUGACUGAAAAACCUAUUAUCAAUUUGGCGCCGUUGCCGAUUGGGUGUUUGUUUGUUACAUUUGAGAUUUCAGACUUGCUUAGAUCAAGUUCUUUUUCAAUUUUCUUUUCAGUUACUUACUGUGUGUUUUUCUUGUUGUCUUCUUGAUCCAGGUACACCUCUACUGUAUGCGAACUCGAUCAACAGGCAACCAGAACCUCCUUUUCAACGACAACAUCAACCGCACAGCCCGCGAAAUCAGAAAAAGGAGAACCACAGUCAACCCUGUACCUCAGCAACCACUCGUUAUGGCUGAAGAACAGAAUCAGCAAAAUGGCCAUGCCAACAUUGGUGCUGGAGAUGCACCACGUGAUCACCGUCAGAGGAAGGGAAUCGCACCUCCUGCUAUCCAGAAUAACAACUUCGAGAUUAAGAGUGGUCUCAUCUCGAUGAUUCAGGGGAACAAAUUCCAUGGUUUGCCAAUGGAGGAUCCACUCGACCACCUUGAUGAAUUCGAUAGGCUCUGCAACCUAACGAAGAUCAAUGGUGUCAGUGAAGACGGAUUCAAGCUCCGUUUGUUCCCAUUUUCCUUGGGUGACAAAGCACAUAUCUGGGAGAAGAAUCUGCCCCAUGACUCAAUCACUACCUGGGAUGAUUGUAGGAAGGCUUUUCUGUCAAAGUUCUUCUCCAAUGCCAGAACUGCAAGACUCAGAAAUGAGAUUUCUGGUUUCUCACAGAAGACUGGUGAAAGCUUCUGUGAAGCAUGGGAGCGUUUCAAGGGUUACACCAACCAAUGCCCUCAUCAUGGCUUUACUAAAGCCUCUCUUCUCAGCACUCUUUACAGAGGAGUCCUACCACGCAUCAGAAUGCUUCUGGAUACCGCCAGCAAUGGGAAUUUCCAGAACAAGGAUGUUGAAGAAGGCUGGGAAUUGGUUGAGAACCUUGCUCAAUCAGAUGGAAAUUACAACGAAGACUGUGAUAGGACCGUCAGAGGAACAGCUGACUCUGAUGACAAACACAGGAAGGAGAUCAAAGCGCUGAAUGACAAGCUGGACAUGAUUCUUCUUAGCCAACAGAAACAUGUGCACUUCCUUGUUGACGACGAGCAAUAUCAAGUCCAAGAUGGGGAGGGUAACCAGUUGGAAGAAGUAAGCUACAUCAACAACAACCAGGGUGGCUACAAAGGAUACAACAACUUCAAAACCAACAACCCCAACCUUUCCUACCGCAGCACCAACGUUGCUAACCCUCAGGAUCAGGUGUAUCCUCCACAGCAACAACAAAGUCAGAACAAACCUUUUGUUCCCUACAACCAAGGUUUCGUUCCUAAGCAGCAAUUCCAGGGAAAUUACCAGCAACCACCACCACCAGGGUUUGCACCUCAGCAAAACCAAGGUCCUGCUGCUGCUGACGCUGAUAUGAAACAAAUGCUACAACAACUACUUCACGGGCAAGCCUCUGGCUCCAUGGAGAUGGCAAAGAAGAUAUCUGAGUUACAUAACAAGCUGGACUGUAGCUACAAUGAUCUCAAUGUCAAGAUGGAAACACUGAAUACCAAAGUCCGUUACUUAGAGGGACAUUCUGCAUCUUCUUCAGCUCCAAAACAGACAAGCCAACUACCAGGCAAAGCAGUUCAGAAUCCAAAAGAAUAUGCUCAUGCUAUCACCUUGCGUAGUGGAAAAGCACUUCCAACUAGGGAGGAACCCAACACGGUCACUAAGGACAGUGAAGAUCAAGAUGGGGAGGAUUUAAGUCUCGAGAAAGAUCAAGCUGACAAACCACUCGACCAACCACUCGAGCGGCCACUCGACAGCGUUACUCGACCGACCACUCGACCUGUCAUCCCAGCAGCAUCACCAACUGCUCCAAGGCCAGUUGCUGUCAAAAACAAAGAAAAAGUCUUUGUCCCUCCUCCCUACAAACCGCAGCUUCCAUUUCCUGGCCGUCACAAGAAAGCGUUGGCAGACAAAUAUAGAGCUAUGUUUGCCAAGAACAUUAAGGAGGUUGAGUUGCGGAUACCUCUUGUUGACGCCCUAGCGCUAAUCCCAGACUCUCACAAGUUUCUGAAAGACUUGAUUGUGGAGAGAAUUCAAGAAGUGCAAGGGAUGGUGGUAUUGAGUCAUGAAUGCAGCGCUAUCAUACAGAAGAAGAUCAUUCCUAAGAAGCUUAGUGAUCCUGGUUCGUUCACUCUACCGUGCUCUUUAGGUCCAUUGGCUUUCAACAGAUGCCUAUGCGAUUUAGGAGCAUCAGUCAGUCUCAUGCCGCUAUCUGUCGCCAAAAGAUUGGGGUUCACUCAAUACAAGUCCUGCAAUAUAUCCCUCAUCCUAGCUGACAGAUCAGUAAGGAUUCCUCAUGGUUUGCUCGAAAACCUCCCAAUCAGGAUCGGUGCUGUGGAGAUACCAACUGACUUUGUAGUCCUGGAGAUGGAUGAAGAGCCCAAGGACCCGUUGAUUCUAGGGAGACCUUUCUUAGCCACUGCAGGAGCUAUGAUUGAUGUCAAGAAAGGGAAGAUUGAUCUGAACCUUGGCAAAGACUUUAGAAUGACCUUUAAUGUCAAAGACGCGAUGAAGAAGCCUACCAUAGAAGGGCAACUCUUUUGGAUCGAAGAAAUGGAUCAGUUAGCUGAUGAGUUACUGGAAGAGCUGGCAGAAGAAGAUCAUCUUAACAGUGCUUUAACCAAAAGUGGUGAAGAUGGGUUUCUGCAUUUGGAAACAUUGGGAUACCAGAAGCUGUUAGACUCCCAUAAAGCGAUGGAAGAAUCGGAACCCUUUGAGGAAUUGAAUGGACCAGCAACAGAGGUAAUGGUAAUAAGCGAAGAAGGGUCAACUCGAGUUCAACCUGCACUCUCGAGGACGUACUCAAGCAACCACUCGACCUUGUCUACCGACGAACCUAGGGAGCCGAUCAUUCCAACUUCAGAUGACUGGUCUGAACUUAAGGCACCGAAGGUUGAUCUCAAACCGCUUCCAAAAGGUCUAAGGUACGCGUUCCUUGGUCCAAACUCUACUUACCCUGUGAUCAUUAAUGCUGAGUUAAAUAGUGAUGAAGUGAACCUGCUAUUAUCUGAGCUUAGAAAGUAUAGAAGAGCAAUUGGUUAUUCGUUAUCCGACAUUAAGGGAAUUUCACCUAGUUUAUGCAACCAUAGGAUCCAUCUUGAAAACGAAUCCUAUUCCAGCAUUGAACCACAGAGGAGGUUAAAUCCCAAUUUGAAAGAAGUAGUGAAAAAAGAAAUUUUGAAACUGCUUGAUGCUGGUGUCAUCUACCCUAUCUCUGAUAGUACUUGGGUUUCUCCAGUGCAUUGCGUCCCUAAAAAGGGUGGAAUGACUGUUGUCAAAAAUGAAAAAGAUGAACUGAUCCCUACUAGAACUAUAACUGGUCAUAGAAUGUGCAUAGAUUAUAGGAAGUUGAACGCUGCAUCUAGGAAAGAUCAUUUUCCUUUACCAUUCAUUGACCAAAUGCUUGAACGUUAAGCUAAUCAUCCAUAUUAUUGCUUUCUUGAUGGAUACAGUGGUUUCUUUCAAAUACCAAUUCACCCUAAUGAUCAAGAAAAAACCACUUUCACGUGUCCUUAUGGAACUUUUGCCUCUAAAAGAAUGCCAUUUGGUUUAUGCAAUGCUCCUGCAACAUUUCAGAGGUGUAUGACCUCUAUACUUUCAGACUUAAUCGAGGAGAUGGUGGAGGUUUUCAUGGACGAUUUUUCGGUCUAUGGCCCCUCUUUCUCCUCAUGUUUGUUGAAUCUUGGCAGGGUAUUGACUAGGUGCGAAGAGACGAAUCUUGUUCUCAAUUGGGAAAAGUGUCAUUUCAUGGUAAAGGAAGGCAUAGUAUUUGGCCACAAGAUAUCAGAGAAGGGUAUAGAGGUUGACAAAGGAAAAGUUGAAGUGAUGAUGCAGCUGCAGCCACCAAAAACGGUGAAGGACAUCAGAAGCUUCCUUGGUCAUGCUGGAUUCUAUAGAAGAUUCAUUAAAGACUUCUCCAAGAUAGCCAGACCGUUAACCAGACUAUUGUGCAAGGAAACCGAAUUUGAAUUCGAUGAUGACUGCCUCAAAUCCUUUCAAACCAUCAAGGACGCUUUGGUAUCUGCUCCGGUUGUUCGAGCGCCUAAUU
Molecule: small RNA, 5137 nt
Filed under: Arabidopsis thaliana (thale cress)
Lineage: Eukaryota; Viridiplantae; Streptophyta; Magnoliopsida; Brassicales; Brassicaceae
Description: ATSL037760
Source: RNAcentral